CUACGGGACGCUCCAGGCGCGAAACCUUUACAAUGCACGAAAGUGUGAUAAGGGAACCCAAAGUGCUUUACUUAGUAAAGCUUUUACCAAGAGUAAAUAUCUUGGAGAAUAAGUGGUGGGUAAGACUGGUGCCAGCCGCCGCGGUAAUACCAGCGCCACGAGUGGGAACUGCAAUUAUUGGGCCUAAAGCGUCCGUAGCCGGUUUAAUAAAUUUUUUGUGAAAUUGUUAAGCUUAACUUAACAAAGUGCAGAAAAGACUGUUAAACUUGGGACUGGGAGGGGUUAGAAGUAUCUUUAGGGUAGCGGUAAAAUGUUAUAAUCCUAAAGAGACUACCUGUGGUGAAAACGUCUAACCAGAACAGGUCCGACGGUGAGGGUCGAAAGCUAGGGGAGCAAAUCGGAUUAGAUACCCUUGUAGUC
Molecule: ribosomal RNA, 420 nt
Filed under: uncultured archaeon
Lineage: Archaea
Description: partial 16S ribosomal RNA
Rfam family: Archaeal small subunit ribosomal RNA
Source: RNAcentral